CCCACUUUGUGCUACCUCUAGGUGGCAUGACCUAACCCAAAUACACACAAAAUUGGGCUAGCUAAUUUGUAAGGUUUGAGACCAAAUUGAUCUCUCAAAGGCUAGGGUUUCUACACGUGCUAGCAUGCUUAUCGAAGACCCUGAUUGGAUCUAAAAUUUCAAUCAACCUUAUCAAAAAGGGUUCUUGGCUAAUUUUUUUUAUGUGUGAGAUCUGUUAGGUUCUACAUCUAGCCAGU
RNAcentral lists this long non-coding RNA (236 nucleotides) under Elaeis guineensis (African oil palm). Its description in RNAcentral is "long non-coding RNA (EGUI_LNC082095)". The record is from RNAcentral. Lineage: Eukaryota; Viridiplantae; Streptophyta; Magnoliopsida; Arecales; Arecaceae.